GCCGGGCGCUCGGGUUUCAGCCGCCGCUCCUCCGCGCCCCGCCCGCGCCUGGCCCGCUCGCCGGCGCCGGGAGAGACCUCGUAACGGAACUGGGACGCCAGCGCUGCAUUGUGGGAGCUUUUAAAGCGGCGGGGAGCUCGGCGCGACCCUCGGGCCCACCGGGCCACGCUCGCCCGGCCCGCGACGCCCCCCCGCUGUCGCCUGGCCCGCGACGCACCGAGGCCUGAGGACCCGAAAGCCGGGCGCGGGGAGAUGACCGGUGGCUCGUGACGGUCCCACGGGCAAAAUCUUCCAUCGCCCGGGGCUGAGACUUGUCAAACUGCCCUCUACGGUCACCCGGAAAGUAGGAGGCUUUUUCUGCAGAGGGGAAAAAAAUCAAAAAGAGCCGUUCCAUCCCCCCUCCAAGGACUGGGUUUGAAUUGCUUUUCAUCUGCAGUGGCUGUGAUUCAGCGUCCCUCUUAGCAGCAGGCAAUGACAGAGGCAGGAGAGGGGAAAAAAAAAAAGAAAGAAAGAAAAAACACAGCAAAUGAAUCAAACGGACGUAGCAGGCAAGAGUGUGGUUAUCGUUGGACCAGGAUUCAGGAUCUGACUGAGUAGCUGACUCUUAAUCCAGUUUGUGUUGAUCACCAGGAGGAUCUGGACCUCAGUAUUACCACAUCUAGAGCUAUAAUCACAUCCCUGUUAAGCCUUCCUGAGAUCACACCAAAUGUCCUUGAUGGGAAUUGUAAACAACCCUUACUUCUGGUUUCUAAUGAUAUUCCAGGAAAGGAGCCUAACUAGAGUCAGUGAUAUGCCAACUCCACCUUUGCCUUCCACCAUGUUUGGAAGCUCCCUGAGGCCUCACCAGGAGCAGAUGCUCGUCCCAUGCUUCCUAUAAGCCUGCAGAACUGUGAGCCAUAAUAAACUGUGAAUUAUAAAUUGCCUUUAUAGCAAUGCAAAUGGACCAGUACAGAUGGGAUGCUGGGAAGACAGUUGUUUCCACCUUCAGUAAAGUCCGUGGAACACAGUUGUGACUAUAUUCUAGGCCAGCCAAGAUGCUUGUACUCAGAAAGGAGUGGUCUCAGGACCAUAAGAAAGUGAAAAAAUAAAAAUAAGAAAAUAAAGAAGGGAUUGUCAAUGAAUCAGAAUUCAUCAAGGUCAAAGUCUUAGGAAAUUCCUUCAUGAGGAAGUCUAGGGGGGCUAUGGAAAUGAAAUUUUUAAACAAAUAGGUAUGUGGUGCUGGCAGGAAUAAAUUAUGGACUUAUGAAUAUAACAUAAGAUUCUUUAUUACCUGGUCUCACCCGUCUUUCCACCUCUGCCCCCCUUCUUGCCCGACUCUGUGUAUCACCCAUAAUAAACUACUUACAGCUUCCUAGUGUUAAAUUUACCCUAAAGCUGCCUCCUUCAAUAUUUUAAGUUUAACCUAAAGGUUCUUCAUACAUAGUGAACUAUAACCCAAUGAUUAAACAGAUUGUAACCUACUCUUGUACCAGUCACCAAGUUUCAGCCAAUCAGAGGUGGCCAACUGUUCAAACCAUGCUCAAAUAAGGGAAAUGUCAUGGUGUAACUAAUCCAGCUGUUUCUAUACCUUACUUCUGUUUUCUUAGGUCACUUUCCUUUUUUGUCCAUAAAUUCUCUCCAACCACUCAGCAGCACUGGAGUCACUCCAAAGCUAUCCUGGUUCAGGGGUCUGUCUGAUUCACAAGUCAUUCUUUGUUCAAUUGAGCUCUGCUAAAUUUAAUUUGUCUGAAGUUUUUCUUUUAACAGAUGGUGUCAGAAAUGGACCCCAAAGUAGAGCUCCCAGUGAUCCCCCAGGAGCACUGAGUGACCACAAGGGGUACCUGCUGGGCCCGUCCUCUCGCAGUGUCCACUGCUCUCUUACAGCAACUGGAGAUUGUGGCUGCAUUCUCUCUCAGAUUCUGAAGCUCCAUACAUUGCCGUUUUCAGCUGUUCAAGCUUGCUUGAGCAAAUUUUUGAUCUUAGCUGAGUUUGGAAGUCGAUAGACAUUGGACUGGGUCCAGGAUUUGAUUGGAUCUGAUAAUUAACUGGCUUGGAUCCAGUUAGAUGCCUCGGUUAUCUGACUGGGUCAGAUAGAAACCGCCAGUAAAUAUUUUAAUAACAAUACUGCAGGGGUAUGAACUCUGGCUUUAAGAAACUCACAAGGAAUUUUAUGUUCUAUACCCUUUGUUUCUUUUUCUUGUGUGCUUCGGUCAGGAAAAAUCAUUAGUCAAGUUAAUCAAGGGGAUCUGAGAGCCAAAUACAAGAUUCAACGUAAAAAUGGAAUCCUUGGGCUAGGCGUGGUGGCUCAGGCCUGUAAUCCCAGGACUUUGGGAGGCUGAGGCAGGCGGAUCACCUGACCUUAGGAGUUCGAGACCAGUCUGGCCAACAUGGUGAAACCCCGUCUCCACUAAAAAUACAAAAAUUAGCCAGGCGUGGUGGUGGGCACCUGUAAUCCCAGCUACUUUGGAGGCUGAGGCAGGAUAAUCACUUGAACCCAGGAGGCAGAGGUUGCAGUGAUCUGAGAUUGCACCACUGCACUCCAGCCUGGGCAAAAGAGCGAGACUCCAUCUCAUAAAUAAAUACAUAAAUAAAUAAAGAAAUCCUUAAUUUCUGCGGAACUGAGUGCUCUACCUUCUGGCUACACCUACGUAUACCUGUAUGAGGUAUAGGCCCUGGAAGCAGCAAACACUUACAGAAAUGGUGAAAUCUUACUAAAGGUAAUCUAAAGUUAUGGUGGAACAUCCCAAAUGAACAACACUGCACUUUAGGAAGUACAUAUAAAAAUGAAGUCUCCCAAUUUAGUAUUAUUCAGGGAUGGCUGUUGAAGUUCAGAAGCUUCUAAAAAGAUUCCAAUAAUUUUACAGAUUCUUUUAAAAGAUUCUUUGUAAAAGGCAAAUAAAAAGCUUAAGUGACUAAUCAGAAAAAUUAGGUCUUCUAACCUUUUGUCAUUGUUACUGUCUUGCCCUGAAAGGGAAAAGAAAGCUGGAUAAAGUAUUUAUAGAAGAUAGAGGACCUGUGGUGGCUCAUGCCUGUAAUCCAAGGUGGAAGGAUUGCUUGAGGCCAGAAGUUCAAGACCAGUCCAAGCAACAUAGCAAGGCCCCAUCUCUACAAAAAAUGAAAAUAAAAUUAGCCGAGCGUGAUGGCUCAUGCCUGUAGUUCUAGCUUCUAGAGAGGCUGAGGCAGGAGGAUUGCUUGAGUCCAGGAGUUCAAGAUUACAGUGAGCUAUGGUCACACCACUGCACUCCAGCCUGGGUGAUGGAGUGAGACUGUCUCAAUAAAAAGACAAAAAGGCUGGCCAGGGGCAGUGGUUCAUGCCUGUAAACCCAGCACUUUGGGAGGCAAAGGCAGGAGGAUUGCUUAAGCCCAGGAAUUUGAGAUCAGCCUGGACAACAUGGUGAGACCCCCAUCUCUACAAAAAUUUUUUUUAAAAGUUACCCAGGCAUGGUGUUGCACAUCUGUGUUCCCAGCUACUGGGGAGGCUGAGACGGGAGGAUCACUUGAGUCCAGGAAGUUGAGAGGUUGAGGCUGCUGUGAGCUGUGAUUGUGCCACUGCACUUUAGCCUGGACAACAGAGGGAGACCCUGUCAACAACAACAACAACAACAAAAAAGCAAAACAUCAUAGGCUGCAGAAAUAAACUUUCUUGUCAAUUGUGUCUUUAACCAUGACCAUUUUGAGUCAUUUCCACAGUGAGUUGCCUAAUUUUGAUGCAUUUCUGAAAACUCUUUAUAAGCAAGUAAAAUCCUAGAGAAUUGUGCCUUCAAGGAGACUCAUGGAAAGGAUGGAAAGAACUCUUGAAUACAUGUUUCUGAUAGCUUUAUGAUCAUAUCAUUUGGACUGGGUAAGAAUUCCCAGAACUCAUGAAGAGACUGACUAUUUAUUAAUCCAAGCAGGAAAAGAAUUAAUUGAAUACCAAGGAAAUACUGUGCCAGAGAUUUUCAUGCUAAAUCAGUCAGCACCGAAAUCGUUAAGAUGUGUAGUUUGAAUGAACUCCAUGAUCCUAGUCAAAUUUCCUAUGAUGACCCAUUUAAUAAACAGUGCUAUGCACCUGAAUUGGAGAAACAGAAUUGAUACUUAAAUCCAAUGUUAAUCAUAGAUUCAUGGAAAGCCUAAAUGGCUGCUUGGGUCUUCCUGAGCCCUUAAAGCUUCCAUUAUUAAAGGCUCUGCACUUUAUAAGUUAUCACUGAAGAGAGAAAAUGAUCCAGAUUUAAAAUACACAUAUUGGUGUGGUGAAUGUUCUAAAUUGCGAAAAUGGUUUAUGACCAACAUUUGGUUUGUCAUGCUCACAAUCCUGGAAAUACAUUCAAAACUUCAGGUACAUUUCUGCUACCUGAUGGGCUAUUUGAAUAUAUAGAGAGGGAUUUCAUUCAAUUGCCAUUUUCAUUGCAUGUUUUUUGGUUGUAUAGAAGCUUUCCCAUGCAAGGAGGCUGAUGCUGUUAUUACAGUAGCUAAAAGGUUAGUAGGAAAUGUGUUUUCCCCCAUGGGGCAUUCCUGGAGAAAUCUCUAGCAAUAAAGGUACUUGUUUGACUGGACAAGUUGUAAAACAGUUUAAUAAGGUUUUUUUUAGGUGUCAUAGCAUUAGGCAAAGCUAACUGAAUUGACUGGAUUGUCAUAGUCAAACAUAUUGCAGAUCCGCUUCCAAUAGAAGACAAUGAAAUAGUCACUGGAAAGCCUGUGCUCCUAAUUUUAGAACCUCAUGUAUCUUCUGCUCCUAAACUCUGAUAGGACUAAAUGCUGUGAGGCCUCAAUGCAUUAUGUUAAUGUGUAUUUUCACCAGGUCAAGGAAGCUUUUCCUGAUCCACUAACUAAGGACAAUCAAACCCUUCAUGAUCUAGAAUCUGGAGACUGUGUCUUCUGGGAAUAGUAUCAGAGAAAGACUGCCCUUACUGCCCACAUGUAGCAAAACUUUGAGACGUUGAAUUAUGGGUCCAUAAUCUCACAACUCAGAGGGGCACCUCUAGACUCUUGGAACUGUAUAUCUAUUGGAGACUUUAAGGUAAAGCUGAACAGAGAGACGUUUUUCUCCAGAAGCAGACAGCACCAUAGUCAUGGACAGCUUUCCCAAGAUCACAGAUCAAGACUUCUCUGCCGUCAUGAGACUCAUAACCUCUUAAUUUUUUCUUGCUUAUGCUUCUGUGAACAAUAGAAUUGGAAAAGGGGUGGUCCCGCGUGCACCCAUAGGGUAUACUUUUAUUUGUGGAGGAUUUUGCUGCCAACCUUAUACAUGGGCAAACUUAUGCCUUCAUGGAUGGAAGAUAAAGGGCUAAUAUGGGUUAGAAAUUUUAAUGGUACCUUUGUUUCUCCAUAAUCAUUCAGAAACAGAACACUGGUCCACUCUUGUUAACCUACAUCAUAGGUUGAAGAGAACAUUGCCAGGAGGCCUUCAUCCUUCCAGAUGGGCACCAUUUGUUGGGUCUUUUUCCGUGGUAUGAAGAAAAUGAAGCAAUGAUUAGAAAUUGGUCCCUCGGCCGGGCACAAUGGCUCAUGCCUGUAAUCCCAUCACUUUGGCAGGCCGAGGCGGGUGGAUCACCUGAGGUCAGGAGUUUGAGACCAGCCUGACCAAUGUGGUGAAACGCCAUCUCUACUAAAAAUACAAAAAUUAGCUGGGUGUGAUGGUGCACACCUGUAAUCCAGCUACUCGGGAGGCUGAGACAGGAGAAUUGCUUGAACCUGGGAGGCAGAGGUUGCAGUGAGCCAAGAUCACCCCACUGCAUUCCAGGUUGGGCAACAGAGCAAGACUCUGUCUCAAAAAAAAAAGAAGAAAGAAAGAAAUUGAUCCCUCAUAAUAGGCUGUAUAGCAGAUUCUACUGCAAAGGCUAUGGUUGCACAACAGACUUCUUUGAAUUUGCUUGCUAAACUUUUACUGGAUAAUACUGGGAUUACAGGUGUGAGCCACUGUGCCCAGCCUCUCCUGUUUAACUGUAUUCAUUCUAAUGUUUACUUACUUCUUUAAUUUGUAAAAUUGGGUCACUUAGAGUUUUUUUAGCCUAUCUUGCCAUUUAGCCACUGUUACUGAUAAUUUGGAUGGAAAAGAAAAAUAAAUUAUAUCACCUCUCAUCUUCAGUGUAUAUAUGUGUUAACUUAGUAAAUAUAGUAUUCUUUCUCGUUCCUAAUGAAAAUUUAGUUUACGUACUGAAACACUGCAAACUUUUAUAAAUAUUGUGAUGUAUUUGACCAAUACAAAGGAUCUUUUUAGAAACAGCAAACAGUUCUCAGAUUAUAGGAAUUACUCAUUUAAUGAUAGUUUCUUCUU
Molecule: long non-coding RNA, 6232 nt
Filed under: Homo sapiens (human)
Lineage: Eukaryota; Metazoa; Chordata; Mammalia; Primates; Hominidae
Description: HSALNT0186852
Source: RNAcentral